This 252-nucleotide unclassified non-coding RNA is filed under the name rhizosphere metagenome. Its description in RNAcentral is "partial ribosomal RNA internal transcribed spacer region". The record is from RNAcentral.
GUAGGUGAACCUGCGGAAGGAUCAUUAACGAGUUAGGGUCUCUGAGGCCCGAUCUCCCAACCCUUUGUUUACCGAACCUCCGUUGCUUCGGCGGGCCCGUCUUCACUGACCGCCGGAGGACUUGCCGAGAGGCGUCCUCUGGCCAGCGUUCGCCGAUAGCCAACCCUUUAAAUUCUGAAUAAAUCGUGUCUUGUGUCUAAGUAAAUGAUUUAAUUAAAAGUAAAACUUUCAACAACGGAUCUCUUGGUUCUG